This is a non-coding RNA of Rattus norvegicus (Norway rat), 1307 nucleotides long. Lineage: Eukaryota; Metazoa; Chordata; Mammalia; Rodentia; Muridae. The record is from RefSeq and is a predicted model, not a curated record.
GGUAUCUCACGGAGCAACAAGAGGUGAUGCAGAACAGGGAUUCAGAGUAUACGGUCUGGUUUUGAUUUCCUGCUCGAGCACCUCCUUAAGAAUGCAGGAAGCAUCACCUCGCUAUGGCGCACCACCUCGCUAUGGCGCACCACCUCGCUAUGGCGCACCACCUCGCUAUGGCGCACCACCUCGCUAUGGCGCAUCACCUCGCUAUGACGCACCACCUCGCUAUGGCGCACCACCUCGCUAUGGCGCACCACCUCGCUAUGGCGCACGCUCCUUGCCUGCAGACAAGGAUUACUUCCUACUUCAUAACGUUGCUGCAAUAAUUAAGUGAGAGUAGCAGAAACCCUACCAACCUCCAUCCUAGAUCUCAUAGAUGCCAGAAUGGUGGAGAAUGAAAAGUUUUAAAUACGAUGCAGUCUCUGUUGUCUUCUGAUAGAGCACAAGUGGACCAAGACAUCCGUCUUCUGCUGGGCCUGGGAAGGGAGAAACCCGGCAGUCUGGAGGAGGAGAGGGGCGUCCCGGGAUAAGAGUGCUUCCUAAAUAGUUUUCAGCCGAGCUGUUAUGUUUCCCAGGGGUUGCAUCUUCAAUGCCUGCACCAUCAGUGCCUGCACCACCAGUGCCUGCACCAUCAGUGCCUGCACGGUCAGUGCCUGCACGGUCAGUGCCUGCACCGUCAGUACCUGCACCAUCAAUGCCUGCCUGCACCGUCAGUGCCUGCACGGUCAGUGCCUGCACCGUCAAUGCCUGCACCGUCAGUGCCUGCACCGUCAAUGCCUGCACCGUCAGUGCCUGCAUUUUAGUUGACCUGGUUCUUGGCUUUCUGAAGAAGAGUCUUCCAAUUUUCAUCAACAUUACUUGCUUAUAACUUCAAGACCAGUUGGUGCUGGUCUUCUCAUGGUCACUUUAACUUUGUUCUAGGCCUUCAAACAAUCCCUUUACUGUAUUUUAGAAGUCAUAAUUUGUGUUCAACCAGCUAUCCAUGGGCAAAUCUGUUUUCUUCAGGUAAAUAUCCCAUAUGGGUGUUUUCUAGUGUUUGUUUUGCAGGGUCUAUGUUUGAGAAAAGCACAGGCAGCAGAAGCUGGUUAUGUAGAAAUGAGAGGACAUUUUCCCUUUCAAUUCGGCUUCCUUCCUUCACAGUUCAGUUAAAAUAAAAAUCUUCUCAGUCAAGAACUAAGAAGUUAUGAGAAUCUGACCACAAAAAGCAUUGUCAGAAAUACCAUUUUUGAACUAUCAUAAAGAAAUGAUCUAGAUGUUUAAAUUGAUUUAAACAUUGAACAGUGCAUAGAUGUAUAAAACAUUGUUGUAUAUAA